This is a long non-coding RNA of Ipomoea triloba (trilobed morning glory), 808 nucleotides long. RefSeq lists it as uncharacterized. Lineage: Eukaryota; Viridiplantae; Streptophyta; Magnoliopsida; Solanales; Convolvulaceae. The record is from RefSeq and is a predicted model, not a curated record. The transcript has 3 exons.
GCUGGUGUUGUAAAUGAAUUACAAGAAUAUAUGAGAGUUUGUUAUGUCGCUCUUCUUGAUGUUUAUGCUGAAAUGGAGAAAGAGUUAGCUUCAAAGGUGAAUCAUAUCGUAUUAGCUAUGCCAAAUCUGAGAUGAAAAAGUUAGUCGGUGCAUAUUUUGAUGAAGCAAAGUGGUUUCUUAAUCGUUGUACUCCAAAGUUUGAGGAGUACAUGAAGGUUGCACUUGUAUCGUGUGCAUAUAUGAUGCUAUCAACAAGUUCUUUGGUAGGCAUGCAAGAAGAUUUUAUAACUAUAUAUAGAGGCCCUUGAUUGGAUGAGUAAGGAGCCAGUAAUUGUUCAAGCCGCAACAGUUAUUUGUAGAUUAAUGGAUGAUAUGGCUGGACAUGAGUUCGAGCAACAAAGAGGAUAUGUGGAUUCAGCUGUAGAAUGCUACAUGAAACAAUAUGAGAAGUCAAAGGAAGAGACCUUUAACGAGUUUCAAGAACGAGUCAGCAAUGCAUGGAAAGACAUUAAUCAAGAAUGUAUGAACCCAACUGCUUUUCCAAUGUCUAUAUCAAGAGUUAUUGAUUUAUUGUAUAAAGAUGGAGAUACAUAUACACAUUCUGCAACCAAGCUUAAAGCCAUCAUUACCUCUGUUUUAAUUGAUCCGAUCAUAUGAUCGGAUCCUAAGAAUAAAAAUGAAGAUAAAACUACUAUCUUCAACAUACGUAAUGUUGUUGCACUAUUUUCCCUAUAACUAUCGUCUACGUUUGAAUUGUUAGAAUUUCAAAAUAAGACAUGUAUCCUAUUGACAAGGGUGUUUGUAUGCA